Molecule: ribosomal RNA, 274 nt
Filed under: uncultured bacterium
Lineage: Bacteria
Description: partial 16S ribosomal RNA
Rfam family: Bacterial small subunit ribosomal RNA
Source: RNAcentral
AUACGAGGGGCCCGAGCGUUAGGCGGAAUCACUGGGCUUAAAGCGUGCGCAGGCGGAUCGGCAAGCGUCUUGUGAAAACCCACGGCUCAACCGUGGAACUGCAGGGCGAACUGCCGGUCUUGAGGCAGGUAGGGGUCAACGGAACUGUCGGUGGAGCGGUGAAAUGUGUAGAUAUCGACAGGAACGCCGGUGGCGAAGGCGGUUGACUGGGCCUGUCCUGACGCUCAGGCACGAAAGCGUGGGGAGCAAACAGGAUUAGAUACCCCGGUAGUCC